This 73-nucleotide transfer RNA is filed under the name Cyphomyrmex costatus. It matches the Rfam family "tRNA". Rfam says of the family: Transfer RNA (tRNA) molecules are approximately 80 nucleotides in length. Their secondary structure includes four short double-helical elements and three loops (D, anti-codon, and T loops). Lineage: Eukaryota; Metazoa; Arthropoda; Insecta; Hymenoptera; Formicidae. The record is from Rfam by way of RNAcentral.
GCCUCAGUAGUCUAAAGGCUCAGAACACUCGCAUGGAAUGCAAGAGAUCUGGGUUCGACUCUCGGUCGAGGUG